Molecule: long non-coding RNA, 3036 nt
Organism: Hippoglossus stenolepis (Pacific halibut)
Lineage: Eukaryota; Metazoa; Chordata; Actinopteri; Pleuronectiformes; Pleuronectidae
Exons: 2
Source: RefSeq, a predicted model, not a curated record
UUAGGCUUCAAUAAAAACAAAUUUGAAGUUAAUGUGCUCAAAAUGACAUGACUCUGCAUAAAUGUCUCCAGUUUACAAUAAACUCAUCACGAAAUGCGAAUGCCCUUUAAAGGAAGAGGUCUUAAUCGUGGACUUGACGGCUGAGGAGACACAAGCAUUUUCCUUUUAUUGCUGUAAAGAAUGGGGAGGAAAGUAGUUUCAUACACUGGCAGGUGAGAAACUGUAACGUCCUCCUAGAUGAUAAAAUUGCCAGACACUGUGUUAUCUACCUGGAAGCACCUGUGCAUGAGAAUGAGAAUGUGUGUUUGCAUAUGGAAAAACUCCUCCGUGCCCUGAAGUUAUCUGUCCAGAAGGCUGUGGAUCUGAACCUUAUAACUCACAUGACUAACGCGUCAAACAAUAACACUUGUGACCACUAAGUCAGAUCAAAUACCUCUACGCGGGGGCCACUGUUGGAUGUAACAAUGGGCAAGGGGGGGUUUCCUGUCCAUGUUUAUUGCAGCCAUUUUGUGUAUUACAAUGAGUAGUCAAUUUAUCUAAGGCGACGCACGUUGAGGUGGUUUCCCCUGGAGGCAGGUGUGCGCCUGUUUGCAUGUGUGUGAGACUGACUCAUGAGUUCCCCCGAGGUAAGUAAUUUACAACUUUCGCUUAUCAAUAGUCCACAUUCAUGAAUGACUAAAUGACUAUGUAACACAUAGAAUGUCUAUGCAGCUAAACAUCAGGUCAGGGAUUCCCAUUAUAACAACAAACAUGUACCCUCAUUCAAAUGAAAUAUCACUUCUAAAUAGGCAUUGCCUUUGUCUUGCAUAAUAGCAGGGAUGGGGGGUUCUAGGUGUGGCCAUGGCUCAUGGUGGGGUAGGUUUGAUUGUAGUCAAUUGUGGCCAAGAGAUGUACCUACUGUAGUCAGAUAUUGUGCGCGCGUGUGUGUGUGUGUGUGCGUGUGCGUGUGUGCGUGUGUGUGUGUGUGUGUGUGUGUGUGUGUGCGUGUGCGUGUGUGUGUGGUUUGUGCUCAGGAUGGGUGUGGCAGGGCAGGGCUUCUUGCUCCUAUCAUACCCACAAAAGACUGGGGCUUCUAUACUGAGAAAUCAAAAGUGAUAAAGGUCAAAGCAGCAACGUGAUGUCACAAAAAGAAAGUGCAGAAAGUCUGUGGCGUAUACUUUGUCUGCAGAUGAAAUGUAGGAUAAAUUCCAAAGAUGACUCCAGGAUACACAGAUGAAUACGGUGAUAAUUUGUGUGCCACUGGCUCCUGCUUUCAGACAUGCACUGAACUCUGCAGUUCCUCAGUAUUUUCUCCGCAGGAGGUGCAUGCGGGAACGCAAAUGUCCGAGUGACACACGACUUUGUCUGCCUGGCCUCCUAGGGAAAUGUCUCUAGAAAUCUGGGAAAAGUCAGGGCAGGGGAUUCACCACGAGCAAGUGGGGGGGUUGAGUAAAAAAUCGAAAAAACAAAACUAAUAUCUCCUGGUGAAAAAGCGGGGACACACACGUAGAAGACAGCGACCAAGACGACAAGAGAGUUUGUGGUGGUAAGAGCUGACACCGGUGUCUGUGUGUUGUCAAGAACAAGGGACCUGGGCAAUUGUUGAUGCUGUGGACUAACUUAAUGAGCCAUUCUCGGGGGGGCCCUCUCCCAGCUGAGGGCCCCAGGCAAUCGUCUGCUUUGCAUACCUUCUUGCAACACCCCUGCAAUGUGAACCAGAGACAUUCAGGGGAAUGUUAACCUUCAGUGCCGAUGUAGGCUACUCAUGUUUAAGCUACAGUCUAAUUAGGCUAAUUAGCAUCUCCGGGUUCGCCCUCCCUCGCUUCGACACAGCAAGAUUGAGCUCGACCAGAGGAGGAGUGAGGUCGAAACUGCGAAAAUGUAAAAAGCUGAACAAGAGCAGAAUGGAACUUCUGCAUUAAAACCGUUUAAAGGUUGUUGUUUUGUUUUUUUUCUAAACCAAUCACAAUUUGGAAAACACCUAAAUUAGAGACUUUUAGCUUUUGAGACGACUGUGCAUCAUGUGGAAGAGGCCGCCCCUCAACAACAGGAUGUUGUCCAACACAUUUUGGUCCUCUGUCUGUCACCAGGAGUUGUGCAUGGUCGCCGUGCUGUGCAGCGCUGGGUUUGUUGUUAUGGUGCAGAGGGGACCCAUCUCUCAGUGAGCAGCUGUCACUCCCUGCACCUCUGCUGUUGUUGAUGUCUUGAAGAGGUACUUUCCCUCCUUCGCACUUCCUCCCACAGGACUAUUUGUUUAUGACACAUUGUGUGUAUGUGCGUGUUUGUGUGUACAGUGUGUGUGUGUAUACUGUAAAUCUCUAUAUUACAUCUGGCACAUGUAUCUCAUAUAAGCUUGCAGAUUUUCAAAAUAUGAUUUGACUUCUUGUGCUGGACACAAAAUGAAAUCAUUAUACUUUUUUGCACAAAUUCACAUCCAUAGUGAACACACACUUAAAAUCACAAUCCAAAAAGUAUUGUUUGCCAAUUUAGCUCAUUCAAAUAGUGGCAUGCUGAUUGUGUGACGAAGUUGUGCCGCGUGAUUGGUUUUGCAUAACUCCUGCUUCUCUUUUCCUCACACAUGCUCUCGUCUCGCUUCUCGUGGCGUCCGCUGCCCGAAUGUCCACUGCAUGUGCAAUAGCGUGGACCCUCCUUCAGGGGUAAAUUAAGCUUUUGUAUCUCCCGGAGGACAGAAAAUGAAAGUGGGAAUACGCAUGCGCUACCUGGACUACAAUCCUCACCGCUCAUUUGGAUAUCAGCGUCAUGUGGAGCUGCAAUCAGGCUCUGGUUCCUGCUCUCUAACACCGUCUCUUCCACGAGGAAUAUUCGGCAACGCCAACCACCACCACCACCAUCUUUAACCACCAUCAAGCUUUACUGGACUUCUCCUCCUUAAAAUCACAGGAAUAAGACUCUGGCAGGAAUUGGGAACCCCCUGCUAACGGCUUUUGUGAUAAAGGAAAGGUAGAGGGCUGCACCCACUCAGCAGAUGGUACGUGGUGAGGCUGACAGUUGUACAUUAUUAACUCGUGCUCUGCAGAAUAAAAGGCUUGAAACAUU